AGCUUCACAGUGAUUUUGCCGGUUACCAGUUAGCAGUACCAAAGUUGAUGUGGCUUUUGCACCAUUGAUAAGUACUUAAUAAAAAAAGCGAAAGUUGAUAAUGGAGGCGGACCUGAAGUCUCAAUUAAGCAAACCAAUGGGGAUUGGGGAACUGAAGUCUAAAGUAAUGAAAGCACUGGUGAAGAGACGAUGCAAAAUGACAAACGAAAGUUUCGAAAAGAGUGGAUUACUAACUUUUCCUGGCUUCAAGAACGAGACGGCAAAGCGUUUGUUAGAGCAUGCGAAAAUACUCUAAUGAAUCACGCUUCACACUUGAAACUGCACCAAGAAAAAG
Rhagoletis pomonella (apple maggot) is the source of this 334-nucleotide long non-coding RNA. RefSeq lists it as uncharacterized. The record is from RefSeq and is a predicted model, not a curated record. NCBI's taxonomy places the organism in Eukaryota, Metazoa, Arthropoda, Insecta, Diptera, Tephritidae. The transcript has 3 exons.